UAUACAUGCAAGUCGAGGGUGAUUAUCGGAUUCGUCUGAUAUGAAACCGGCGCACGGGUGCGUAACACGUAUGCAACCUACCUUUAACUGGGGUAUAGCUCAGAGAAAUCUGAAUUAAUCCCCCAUAACACUACGACAUGGCAUCAUGAUGUAGUUAAAGCUCCGGCGGUUAAGGAUGGGCAUGCGGUACAUUAGCUAGUUGGUGAGGUAAUGGCUCACCAAGGCUACGAUGUAUAGGGGGUCUGAGAGGAUGAUCCCCCACACUGGUACUGAGACACGGACCAGACUCCUACGGGAGGCAGCAGUAGGGAAUAUUGGUCAAUGGACGAAAGUCUGAACCAGCCAUGCCGCGUGAAGGAUGAAGGCCCUCUGGGUCGUAAACUUCUUUUAUUAGGGAAGAAACCUCAGGAUGCGUCCUGAGCUGACGGUACUUAAUGAAUAAGGAUCGGCUAACUUCGUGCCAGCAGCCGCGGUAAGACGAAGGAUCCAAGCGUUGUCCGGAUUUACUGGGUUUAAAGGGUGCGUAGGCGGAAAAUUAAGUCAGUGGUGAAAGCCCGCAGCUCAACUGUGGAACUGCCAUUGAAACUGGUUUUCUUGAAUAUAGCUGAGGCAGAUGGAAUAUAACAUGUAGCGGUGAAAUGCUUAGAUAUGUUAUAGAACACCGAUUGCGAAGGCAGUCUGCUAAACUAUUAUUGACGCUGAGGCACGAAAGCGUGGGGAGCGAACAGGAUUAGAUACCCUGGUAGUCCACGCCCUAAACGUUGAUUACUCGCUGUUGGCGAUAUACUGUCAGUGGCUAAGCGAAAGCAUUAAGUAAUCCACCUGGGAAGUACGACCGCAAGGUUGAAACUCAAAGGAAUUGACGGGGGCCCGCACAAGCGGAGGAGCAUGUGGUUUAAUUCGAUGAUACGCGAGAAACUUACCU
RNAcentral lists this ribosomal RNA (925 nucleotides) under uncultured Bacteroidota bacterium. Its description in RNAcentral is "bacterial SSU rRNA". It matches the Rfam family "Bacterial small subunit ribosomal RNA", at positions 50 to 976 of the family's 1533-position model. Lineage: Bacteria; Pseudomonadati; Bacteroidota. The record is from RNAcentral.